AGUUUUUUGGGGGUCCCCGUUAAGAUUGGAACGAUAUAGAGAAAGAUUAGCAUGGCGCCUACCAAGAAUGACACGCACCAAUCGAGAAAUGGUUUAAAUUCUU
This is a small nuclear RNA of Rhododendron vialii, 103 nucleotides long. NCBI's taxonomy places the organism in Eukaryota, Viridiplantae, Streptophyta, Magnoliopsida, Ericales, Ericaceae. The record is from RefSeq and is a predicted model, not a curated record.